AGGAACUGACCAACAGCUCUAAUGUACACUCAUACACUGUACAAAAUACAUGUUGUGUAUGAAGAUUGUGUGUCUGGUCUGUUCCGGUUCUGUGUUGUUUCUGUUUCUGGCUCCAGGUUUUUUUUUCAUCAUCGGUGUGUGUGUCUGUGUGGCUCUGCUGCUGAUUGGAGGAUUUGCACUGAUGAUCUACAAAAUGAGACACAAGAGAACACACGAUUCAACACCUUCAUCCACAGACAGUGAAGAGUGACCAUUGUUACGGAGCAGAGGGAUAAACAGGAAACCUUUGGGAAAUAACAGCGAAGAGACGUCCACUAGAACAUUUCUCAGUGUGCUGGAAAGAGCAAAAGAGUGAAGUGAACCUUGAGUCCAUGAUGACGAUCCUCCUCAUCUUCACCCUCUCCCUAAUAUCAGGUCCAGUGGGCUGUGUUGAUGUGAUCAGCUACUCUGGAGGAAGCGUCAUUAUGGUCUCUAAACUGUCCUGGAGUUCAGUAAAUAGUAACUAUAUUUGUAAAAUGGAAAACAGAAUUUGCACAGAUAUAUUAAGGUCAAACACUGGAGAGAGCAAUGUUCAAGUGGAACGAUUCACACUUUAUAGACAAAAAGACGGAUUUCUGACAAUGUUUAUCAGAAGGCUGAAGCCACAGGAUGCUGGAAGAUACAGCAUGCGUGUGGGAACUUGGAGCAGCCCUGAUGUGACCCUGAAAGUUGUUAAUGAUUCUUGUUGUUCUGGGCCAAACAUUAUGAAUGCUUAUCAAGGACAGAAUACCACCAUCAUCUGUAACUAUCCAGCGGUGUAUGAGAAAAACAACAAGCAUAUCAUGAAAAUUGAUAAAGACAGUGUUAUUAAACACAUUCUAGAAAUAAAUUCUCAGAAUGGCAGAUUCUCAGUUUCUGAUGACAGAAGUGCUAAAGUUCUCAUUGUGAACAUCGGUGACGUGAGAGAAGCUGAUGAUGGAGUUUAUUUAUGUGGAGCGCAUAUCGGACAGUGGUCAGUCCAGUAUUUCUCCUUCUUCACAGAGAUCCAGCUACAUGUUACAGGUGAAACUUUUAUUCAUGUUGUUUUAAAGAUGUAUGAAUAUUUAUACUAACAGCUCUCACUAACACCACAUAUGUGUGAUUUACAGGACAGUAUUAAAGUUAUGACUAAAAUUACAGGAUUUACUGUGUAAUUGUUUCUUUCAUGUUUUACACAGCAACCACUACCUCCAUGAUGACAUCAGCAACACCAACAGAAAUCUCAUCUGAUGCAGCCAGUAAGAACUCACUCAUACAUAACACUCACUCUUUUAUUCUGUAUUCAUAUUAAACAUGGACAGUCAGAGGAUCAGUCAGAGGAUCAGUCAGGGGAUCAGUGUGUUAUUAUGAGGACAUCGGUAUGUUAAAAUCAGGGGAUCAGUUUGUUAGGGCUAAACACCAGUAACUGGAACUUAAUUGGAUUUGAAGGUUCCUGGUUAAUCCUAGUUUGAUACCAAUAUACUGCUGGAUCUAAUGUCCUUCUUCUACAACAUGACAUCAUUACACCAGCAGAGAGGAUUUAAAAAAGUGCAGAAAGUGAUCAGCAGCUCUAAUCUACACACAUACACACUAUAGCAUACAUGUUACUGGUUAUGUAUAAAGAUUAUGGUAAUGUACAUGUUUGCUUUGUUCCUGUUCUGUAAUGUCUCUGUUUCUGUCUCCAG
Long non-coding RNA from Ictalurus punctatus (channel catfish), 1682 nucleotides. Lineage: Eukaryota; Metazoa; Chordata; Actinopteri; Siluriformes; Ictaluridae. The record is from Ensembl.